CUCUCGGCAACGGAUAUCUCGGCUCUCGCAUCGAUGAAGAACGUAGCGAAAUGCGAUACCUGGUGUGAAUUGCAGAAUCCCGCGAACCAUCGAGUCUUUGAACGCAAGUUGCGCCCGAGGCCAUUCGGUUGAGGGCACGCCUGCCUGGGCGUCACGCCAAACA
This 163-nucleotide ribosomal RNA is filed under the name Phalaris arundinacea. Its description in RNAcentral is "5.8S ribosomal RNA". It matches the Rfam family "5.8S ribosomal RNA". Rfam says of the family: 5.8S ribosomal RNA (5.8S rRNA) is a component of the large subunit of the eukaryotic ribosome. It is transcribed by RNA polymerase I as part of the 45S precursor that also contains 18S and 28S rRNA. Functionally, it is thought that 5.8S rRNA may be involved in ribosome translocation. The record is from RNAcentral. Lineage: Eukaryota; Viridiplantae; Streptophyta; Magnoliopsida; Poales; Poaceae.